CUCUUGUUACAAUGCAGCAGACACAGGAUCAAAAUCCUCCCUGUUACAAAGACAAACAAGGCUAUCAAAGAGGCCUUAAACACCACAAAACCAUCGGUGCAUCAUCAUUUCUACGUAACAGAAUACAAUUGUUAUUUUUUACCUAAUCAAAUUACUUCAUACAAACUCAAGAAUCGAAUUUGCUAAACGUUCUUGAACAUUCGAAACUUCGUCCUCGUGAAAUGGUGUUGAGUCUCCAAAUACCUUAAUAAAUGUUAAAUAAUAUUAGAAUAUUGUAUCAUCAUUAAAGAACACAAUUAACACAAAUAAUUGAAAAAUUCGGAUACACACCUGAUUCCAUGAAUUAACAAUACUGGCAGAUACAAUGUUCAACAUAUGUAUCAUAACAUAAUAACCACUCUCAUGAUUGAA
RNAcentral lists this long non-coding RNA (411 nucleotides) under Trifolium pratense (red clover). RNAcentral describes it as "long non-coding RNA (TPRA_LNC014413)". The record is from RNAcentral. Lineage: Eukaryota; Viridiplantae; Streptophyta; Magnoliopsida; Fabales; Fabaceae.